This 364-nucleotide ribosomal RNA is filed under the name Mesorhizobium sp. RNAcentral's name for it is "bacterial SSU rRNA". It matches the Rfam family "Bacterial small subunit ribosomal RNA", at positions 1050 to 1414 of the family's 1533-position model. The record is from RNAcentral. Lineage: Bacteria; Pseudomonadati; Pseudomonadota; Alphaproteobacteria; Hyphomicrobiales; Phyllobacteriaceae.
UGUCGUCAGCUCGUGUUGUGAAAUGUUGGGUUAAGUCCCGCAACGAGCGCAACCCUUAUCCUUUGUUGCCAGCGGUUCGGCCGGGAACUCAAAGGAGACUGCCAGUGAUAAACUGGAGGAAGGUGGGGAUGACGUCAAGUCAUCAUGGCCCUUACGAGUAGGGCUACACACGUGCUACAAUGGCAUAUACAAAGAGAAGCGACCUCGCGAGAGCAAGCGGACCUCAUAAAGUAUGUCGUAGUCCGGAUUGGAGUCUGCAACUCGACUCCAUGAAGUCGGAAUCGCUAGUAAUCGUAGAUCAGAAUGCUACGGUGAAUACGUUCCCGGGCCUUGUACACACCGCCCGUCACACCAUGGGAGUGGG